CCUAUAUUGAACAUCUACUCUUAAUUAAUGACAAAUCGAGACUUCGUCAGAAUUAUGAGUUCCAAGUACUUUCUACACCAUUUCAUCAAUCUACAAAUACAGUCUAUGAAAACAAGUCAAGCUCCAAUUUUGCAGAUUAUACAACCAGCUACCAGUUAUUGGUCGCUGGAGGAUUAUAUAUGCAGCAACCACAAGUUUAGUCGCUAGACGAGUUAAAAAAAUUAGAGGGCUCAUCCCGCUAAGCUGUAAAGCGACCAAUAUCUGGUCGCUGAAGGGUUAUAUAUAUACAGCGACCACCACUUUGGGUGCUGAAAGAGAGAAAAAAUUAGGCAGGGUUCAUCCCGCCAAGAGGUAUAGCGACCACAUAAACGUUGGUCGCUGGAUAGAAGUAUUAGCGACCAGAUAUUGGUCGCUGGAGGAUUAUACAUGCAGCGACCACUAGUUUGGUCGCUGGAAGAGUUAAAAAAAGUAGGCGGGGUUUAUCCUGCCAAGAGGUAUAGCAACCACGUAAAUGUUGGUCGCUAAAUAGAAGUAUGAGGUACAGCGACAAUGUAAGAUCGAAAUUUUUUGUAAUCUGAUUCUUCUACGAGGAGCGGCGGCAAUGGGAGACGGGAGGCAGAGUGAAUGGCCUUUUUUUUCCAUCUGAUAAUGAUUUAUCUUUUUAGGGCUUCUAUUUGAGAGAGACAGAGUGGGGGGCAACAAUGCUCGAAUUGAGAGGAAAUGAAAUACUUUGAGUAUUUGAG
Molecule: long non-coding RNA, 743 nt
Filed under: Olea europaea (common olive)
Lineage: Eukaryota; Viridiplantae; Streptophyta; Magnoliopsida; Lamiales; Oleaceae
Description: long non-coding RNA (OEUR_LNC014203)
Source: RNAcentral